Molecule: ribosomal RNA, 238 nt
Filed under: uncultured bacterium
Lineage: Bacteria
Description: partial 16S ribosomal RNA
Rfam family: Bacterial small subunit ribosomal RNA
Source: RNAcentral
GAUCAUGGCUCAGGAUGAACGCUAGCUACAGGCUUAACACAUGCAAGUCGAGGGGCAGCAUCAUCAAAGCUUGCUUUGAUGGAUGGCGACCGGCGCACGGGUGAGUAACACGUAUCCAACCUGCCAACAACACUGGGAUAGCCUUUCGAAAGAAAGAUUAAUACCGGAUGGCAUAAUUUUCCCGCAUGGGAUAAUUAUUAAAGAAUUUCGGUUGUCGAUGGGGAUGCGUUCCAUUAGG